AAAUACUCUUGUUUCUCAUUGUAGGUAUAUAUUGUACCUAUUAACUAGUAAAAUUCCAGCCAACUCUGCUGCCAAAGUAAAUUUCUGAAAGGCUUCGAGAGCUAUCUAAAUAUAUCGUGGAACUCAGUUUUGGACUGUAAAUCAAACAUUGUAGAAAAAACAUUGAUAUCAUCCGCGGGAGUAAAGAAUAUUAUAAUGCAUCUUUUAUUGCGGCAGUAAAAAUAUGUUUUAUAUUUACAACCGAACGAUGCUUUCCGAUAGGUUACGAUUGUUUAACUGUUUUUAUCGACGUCGUUAAGCUUUUUCUUUGAACGUGAGAUGGCUGAAUAUGUGUAUAAUAGAGCCCUUAUUCUACAAUUAUUUACACAACGAUAAAAAUAAUAAUAACAUUGUUAUAAUAUUUAUUUUAAGGUUCAAAACAAAAUCUCUGCACUGUUAAAAUUUAUUUACUAAUUUUAAUACGUAAUUUAGUUACGUUGCCAUUACAUGAGAAUGUAUUUACUAAGAAAUAAAUGUUCUGUACUGUCAAUAUCGAUGACCCAACAAAGGUAUUGUAUUUAUUUAGUUUCGAACUAUGGACGGGUAGUUCCCACGGUCAGCGUGUCGCUUGCACGGAAAAUGUUUGUCUGGAAAAAAUAGACGAUACAAUAUCUGUUUUAGGAAAGAUGUUAUUGGAAAUUCAUAUAAUUUGUAGAUGAUAGGGUAAUUUAUACUUGGUUAGUCGUGAAUAUAAGUAGAUAUUUUUUUCAAUAAGCUUCAUUUAUAUAACAUACCAUUAUAUUAAUAUACAAAAUAACGUUUAGUAAAA
Bombyx mori (domestic silkworm) is the source of this 808-nucleotide long non-coding RNA. RefSeq lists it as uncharacterized. The record is from RefSeq and is a predicted model, not a curated record. Lineage: Eukaryota; Metazoa; Arthropoda; Insecta; Lepidoptera; Bombycidae. The transcript is spliced from 2 exons.